CGGCGGCCGUAACUAUAACGGUCCUAAGGUAGCGAAAUUCCUUGUCGGGUAAGUUCCGACCUGCACGAAUGGUGUAACGAUCUGGACGCUGUCUCAGCCGUGAGCUCGGUGAAAUUGAAGUAUCGGUGAAGAUGCCGAUUACCCGCAACGGGACGAAAAGACCCCGUGAACCUUUACUAUAGCUUCACAUUGUGUUUGAGUAUAGGAUGUGUAGGAUAGGUGGAGGCUAUGAAUCUGGCACGCUAGUGUUGGUGGAGCCGCCGUUGAAAUACCACCCUUUCUAUACUUAGAUUCUAACUUUCCUUAUGGAGAGGACAGUGUGUGGUGGGUAGUUUGACUGGGGUGGUCGCCUCCUAAAAGAGUAACGGAGGCUUGCAAAGGUACCCUCAGCAUGGACGGUAACCAUGCGAAGAGCGCAUUAGUAGAAGGGUGCUUGACUGAGAGAACGACGGUUCGAACAGGGACA
RNAcentral lists this ribosomal RNA (466 nucleotides) under uncultured bacterium. RNAcentral's name for it is "bacterial LSU rRNA". It matches the Rfam family "Bacterial large subunit ribosomal RNA", at positions 1928 to 2401 of the family's 2925-position model. The record is from RNAcentral.